CAGUGCAAGUCCGAGCGGAUGCAAGGCGUAGCUUGCUCCUGGGAUUCAGUCGGCGGACGGGUGAGUAAUGCCUAGGAAUCUGCCUGGUAGUGGGGGAUAACGUCCGGAAACGGGCGCUAAUACCGCAUACGUCCUGAGGGAGAAAGUGGGGGAUCUUCGGACCUCACGCUAUCAGAUGAGCCUAGGUCGGAUUAGCUAGUUGGUGGGGUAAAGGCCUACCAAGGCGACGAUCCGUAACUGGUCUGAGAGGAUGAUCAGUCACACUGGAACUGAGACACGGUCCAGACUCCUACGGGAGGCAGCAGUGGGGAAUAUUGGACAAUGGGCGAAAGCCUGAUCCAGCCAUGCCGCGUGUGGGAGGAAGGUCUUCGGAUUGUAAAGCACUUUAAGUUGGGAGGAAGGGCAGUAAGUUAAUACCUUGCUGUUUUGACGUUACCAACAGAAUAAGCACCGGCUAACUUCGUGCCAGCAGCCGCGGUAAUACGAAGGGUGCAAGCGUUAAUCGGAAUUACUGCCCGUAAAGCGCGCGUAGGUGGUUCAGCAAGUUGGAUGUGAAAUCCCCGGGCUCAACCUGGGAACUGCAUCCAAGACUACUGAGCUAGAGUACGGUAGAGGGUGGUGGCAAUUUCCUGUCUAGCGCUGAAAUGCGUAGAUAUAGGGAGGGAACACCAGUGGCGAAGGCAACCACCUUGGACUGAUACUGACACUGAGGUGCGAAACGCUAGCGGAGCAAACAGGGAUUAGAUAGCCUGGUAGUCCACUCCGUAAACGAUGUCGACUAGCCGUUGGGCAUCCUUUAACAUCUUAGUGGCGCCGUUAACGGGAUAAGUCGACUGCUUGGGGAUUACGGCCGUCAAGGCUCAAAACUUUAACGAAACUGACUGGGGGCCCCCAACAAGCGGUGGGGUUAUGGGGGUUUAAAUUCCAAAAUAACCCCGAGAACCCUUU
This 948-nucleotide ribosomal RNA is filed under the name Pseudomonas aeruginosa. RNAcentral describes it as "bacterial SSU rRNA". It matches the Rfam family "Bacterial small subunit ribosomal RNA", at positions 54 to 974 of the family's 1533-position model. The record is from RNAcentral. Lineage: Bacteria; Pseudomonadati; Pseudomonadota; Gammaproteobacteria; Pseudomonadales; Pseudomonadaceae.